RNAcentral lists this ribosomal RNA (501 nucleotides) under uncultured Thalassiosira. Its description in RNAcentral is "bacterial SSU rRNA". It matches the Rfam family "Bacterial small subunit ribosomal RNA", at positions 91 to 616 of the family's 1533-position model. Lineage: Eukaryota; Bacillariophyta; Thalassiosirophyceae; Thalassiosirales; Thalassiosiraceae. The record is from RNAcentral.
UCUAGUGGCGGACGGGUGAGUAACACGUGAGAAUUUGCCUUUAGGAGGGGGAUAACAAUUGGAAACGAAUGCUAAUACCCCAUAUGCUUCCGAGUGAAAUGGAUUUAUAUUUAUCCGCCUAAAGAGAAGCUCGCGGCUGAUUAGCUUGUUGGUAAGGUAAGAGCUUACCAAGGCGACGAUCAGUAUCUGGUUUGAGAGGACGAUCAGACACACUGGAACUGAGACACGGUCCAGACUCCUACGGGAGGCAGCAGUGGGGAAUUUUCCGCAAUGGGCGAAAGCCUGACGGAGCAAUACCGCGUGAGGGAAGACUGCCUAUGGGUUGUAAACCUCUUUUUUCAGGGAGGAAUCAAUGACGUGUACCUGAAGAAUAAGCAUCGGCUAACUCCGUGCCAGCAGCCGCGGUAAGACGGAGGAUGCAAGUGUUAUCCGGAAUCACUGGGCGUAAAGCGUCUGUAGGUGGUUUAAUAAGUCAACUGUUAAAUCUUGAGGCUCAACUUC